GUAAGUGCUGCGAGAGAGAUUCCGCUUCCCUAUGGGGAGGCGGAAGCACCGAAGGGGCAACGCCGGAAGGCCGAAACUCUCAGGUCCCAGAAUCGCGCAUCUUCG
RNAcentral lists this non-coding RNA (105 nucleotides) under Bilophila wadsworthia. RNAcentral's name for it is "Glycine sequence". It matches the Rfam family "Glycine riboswitch aptamer". From Rfam's summary of the family: This family represents the bacterial glycine riboswitch. Glycine riboswitches usually consist of two metabolite-binding aptamers domains with similar structures in tandem. The aptamers cooperatively bind glycine to regulate the expression of downstream genes. Lineage: Bacteria; Pseudomonadati; Thermodesulfobacteriota; Desulfovibrionia; Desulfovibrionales; Desulfovibrionaceae. The record is from RNAcentral. RNAcentral also lists the same sequence under 1 other name.